GACGGAGGGUGCAAGCGUUAUCCGGAUUUACUGGGUUUAAAGGGUGCGUAGGCGGGCAGGUAAGUCUGUGGUGAAAUCUCCGAGCUUAACUCGGGAACUGCCAUGGAUACUAUUUGUCUUGAAUACCGUGGAGGUGAGCGGAACAUGGCAUGUAGCGGUGAAAUGCUUAGAUAUGCCAUAGAACACCUAUUGCGAAGGCAGCUCACUACACGGUGAUUGACGCUGAGGCACGAAAGCGUGGGUAGCGAACAGG
Molecule: ribosomal RNA, 253 nt
Filed under: uncultured bacterium
Lineage: Bacteria
Description: partial 16S ribosomal RNA
Rfam family: Bacterial small subunit ribosomal RNA
Source: RNAcentral